UGGCUCAGAAUGAACGCUAGCGGCAGGCUUAACACAUGCAAGUCGAGGGGUAUAGAUCUUCGGAGAGAGAGACCGGCGCACGGGUGCGUAACGCGUAUGCAAUCUGCCUUUUACAGAGGGAUAGCCCAGAGAAAUUUGGAUUAAUACCUCAUAGUAUAUAGACUCGGCAUCGAGAUUAUAUUAAAGUCACAACGGUAAAAGAUGAGCAUGCGUCCCAUUAGCUAGUUGGUAAGGUAACGGCUUACCAAGGCUACGAUGGGUAGGGGUCCUGAGAGGGAGAUCCCCCACACUGGUACUGAGACACGGACCAGACUCCUACGGGAGGCAGCAGUGAGGAAUAUUGGACAAUGGGCGCAAGCCUGAUCCAGCCAUGCCGCGUGCAGGAUGACGGUCCUAUGGAUUGUAAACUGCUUUUAUACGAGAAGAAACA
Molecule: ribosomal RNA, 430 nt
Filed under: Flavobacterium sp. WB4-4-108
Lineage: Bacteria; Pseudomonadati; Bacteroidota; Flavobacteriia; Flavobacteriales; Flavobacteriaceae
Description: bacterial SSU rRNA
Rfam family: Bacterial small subunit ribosomal RNA
Source: RNAcentral